Molecule: non-coding RNA, 908 nt
Organism: Pseudopodoces humilis (Tibetan ground-tit)
Lineage: Eukaryota; Metazoa; Chordata; Aves; Passeriformes; Paridae
Source: RefSeq, a predicted model, not a curated record
GAUAUAUAGAUCAAGGCCGCAACCCUCAGCUUUACACUAAAGAGUGUCUGGAGCGAGCUUUGGCUAAAAAUGAGCAAGUGAAAGGAAAAAUUGACACUAUGAAGAAAUUUAAAAGCCUGUUAAUUCAAGAACUGACAAAGGUGUUCCCAGAAGAUAUGGCAAAGUACAAAGCUAUUAGAGGAGAAGAUCCUCCUCCUUAAGUUGGCCUUUGAUAGCUCUAAAAAUGUCCCAUAAACUUAUACAACACCUUAUAAAAACAUUGAUUGGAGAGAGAAGGAAUUCAAGCCCUCCUAACAACUGUACUAAAAAUAGCAGUAGUGACUGUAAAGGAGCUUGAUGGCUGUUCAUGGUUCUGGUCUGAAGCUGCUGAAUCUGAAGACUUCUACUCAGUGAUUGUGGUUGAAACUUCCUAUGGUACACUUCUUUCCUGAAGGGUUUGAGAAAUGUAAUUUCCUACAGGUCAUCAGUGCAGAGCAUUUCCCACAAAGCCCAUUUGCAUAGCAGAAAAACAUGUUUUACUUGUCUUCUGGAAAGUGUGCCUCAGGAUUGUGGGCUCAUCUGUUUUUUUAAGAGAAAUGCAUUUAUUAUACUUGAUUGUUUUUCAUUUGUAAACGUCAGGGGUUCUUUACUGCAGUGUGAACAUCUGACUGCUUUUGUUUUGCCAAAUUCUACUGAGCAGGAGCCUGUCAAGGGCUGCACUUCUCAUGUGUCAUAAUUAGUUGCAGCCAGGAAAACCUUCAGAUCUUGUUUUGUUCUGGGAGCUGCAGUGCAGAUGGCUGAGGAUACAAAAAGUGAGCAUACCUGGGGACUAGCUCCUCUACAACUUUAAUAUUUUGUACAGUAUUUAAUGUAAGCUUUUGUUUAUUCAUUUUCUGCAAGCAGGUUGUUGAAUAAAAAUUUGAAAAAAU